This 93-nucleotide small nucleolar RNA is filed under the name Amborella trichopoda. RNAcentral describes it as "Small nucleolar RNA snoR26". It matches the Rfam family "Small nucleolar RNA snoR26". The record is from Rfam by way of RNAcentral. Lineage: Eukaryota; Viridiplantae; Streptophyta; Magnoliopsida; Amborellales; Amborellaceae.
AGAGCAUCAGUGAUGAAUAUCUCCUAUUUGUUAUCCUUGCACUUUGAUAUCCCAUGAAGAAAUCUUGAGGGGAAGAAAAGAUCUGAGAUGCUU